GGCCGGAUAAGGCGCUUGCGCCGCAUCCGGCAGUCGUGCACCGACGCCUGAUGCGACGCUGACGCGUCUUAUCAGGCC
Molecule: non-coding RNA, 78 nt
Filed under: Escherichia marmotae
Lineage: Bacteria; Pseudomonadati; Pseudomonadota; Gammaproteobacteria; Enterobacterales; Enterobacteriaceae
Description: Nucleoid-associated noncoding RNA 4 (CssrE)
Rfam family: Nucleoid-associated noncoding RNA 4 (CssrE)
About the family: In E. coli small RNA transcribed from repeated extragenic palindromic element (REP325) called nucleoid-associated ncRNA 4 (nRNA4) collaborates HU protein in condensing the DNA.
Source: RNAcentral